Molecule: long non-coding RNA, 1519 nt
Organism: Lycium ferocissimum
Lineage: Eukaryota; Viridiplantae; Streptophyta; Magnoliopsida; Solanales; Solanaceae
Exons: 2
Source: RefSeq, a predicted model, not a curated record
GAAGAAUGUGGAAACAAAUAUCCACAGCUGAAAGCUAAUUUUAGCCCCUGCACAUAUGCUCUUUUAGUGGUGACUAGAUGGACUCAAGUAUUCUGGUCCAUUUCCUUUGAAAUUACCAAGUUUGGGCUCAUAAAUAUCCCAUUGUUUAUUUAUCCAAAUCAAAAUAGAAAUAGACAUAACAGAGCAAAACAUAGAGACUUUCUUGGUUCUUCAGGUGGCUCUCGGUCAAGACCAACUACCAUACUACCUAAGAUUGAAAUAGUUUGGUUCGUUUGACUCGUUCUUUGACAUUUGGAGCUAACGAUCGGUAAUGUAAAGUCGACAUUGAGGAAUGUCGAGCCCUUCUACUUGCGUGCUUUCAAAUUUCUCGAAUGAUAAUAGUUACAAAAAGGCUAAGCUUGAAAGUUAUAAACUUAUUUUAAAUCUUUCUACAUGAUUUUUGGGGUUUUUGUGUGAGACACUAUGUUAUGCGCUUAAUUUCUUGUGACUUGUUGAUUACAAAUUCGUAGCGUAUUUUUUUAUGGAAUUGUUGAAAUCACUCUCUUGAUUUGCAUCAUAUAAGUGGAACCGUAAACUUGAUGUUGUGAAAGAGAUUCGGUCGAAGACCAUGACUUGAUAAAAUGAAAGUAAAUAAGAUUUAACAAAAUUUUGAUAUUGAUUUGCUCAUCCAGUCGAGGGGAUGACGGAACCCGUGGGUUCUAUACCCGGUGUACCAUUGCUCAUCCGGUCGAGGGGAUGACCGGGCCUGUGGGUUCUACACCCCGGUGUAUCAUUUCUCAUCCGAUCGAGAGGAUGAUCGGCCCGCGGGUUUUGUACCCCAGUGUACCAUAGCCUAUCUGGUGGGGAGAGUACGUCAGGGCUCGCGGAUGGCAUCCCGAGUGUAUACAUCACAUACGAACACGAGUCUUGAGAUCUGGACAUUGAAAUCAUGGAAUAAUAUGACACUUGAGAAGAUUUAGAAAGAUCCUAAACAUGGUUUACGUGACUGUUGCUUCUUCUGUGCUUUGAUAAAUUAAAUUUAUCUCUCAUGUAUUCAUAAAUCAUGUUCACGUCAUAUGUUUUGAUGAAUAAAAUUGUGUAUGUAAUCCAUCGCUCAUGCACUUAAUAUUUUCUUAUAUAUCUGUAUAACUACUGCCCCAUCAUGGGUGGUGGCCAUGACACAUCUCUGAGUAUUCCAAUACUCAAACAUCAUUUGUUUAAAUGGUGUUAGGUCGAGCAGGAGGUCAGGUGCAGGGUGGUCAAUGUGCGAACUAAGAUUCCUGCAACUUCAUACUUUUUGUCAGUCCACAUUUGAGAUCGUGGGAUUCACAUUGUUGUAUUUUUAAUUUUAUUUUUGUAUAGUAAGAGCUAGUCUCGCAAUUGUAUUAUUUCAUUCAUAGUUUCAUAGAAGCUCCAUAGAUAAACUUGUAUUACUUUUGGGUUAUAGGCUCCCGUUCGGAUUUGCAAAUAACAUUUUUAUUAUAUGACUUGGUUAAUGAGCUUGUUGAUUAAUAUUGUUCACUUUGGAUUACUCACUUAA